AAAAAAUCACAUCUGAAAUGCUUUAAGGGAAGAUUCAUCUGCUUGGCAGACAAUGGACUUUCUCCCUCAGAGUUAAAUCUGACAAGAAAAUUCCAUGAUUUGAAGAUUAUGCUGUUUUCUUCCUGUUAGUAACCAAAAUCAUGCAUCAUUUUGUCUGGAAAAAAGAUUCUAUUACUUUUUGAGCAAUACUUGUAACUGUUGAACUUUUUUUUUUUUUUCCUGGAAAACAGUGCUGUUUCACUACCUGGUAAAAUGAAGAGUUAAAGUAAAAGGAAAUGGUGUGUGACAUCAGACCUGAGGCCAAGUCCUUAAUUUGUUUUCUUGCUAAUACUGAACUCAAGGAAAUCAACUGGAUCCUUGCCUGAGGCGAAAUGAUGCUUGGUCACAUCACUUGAUCCAGUUCUUCAAUCAGGAAAUGAGGGAUAAUUUACCUGACUCAAAUGCACAAUUCACAAUCCAAGUAACUACUGGAGUACCAACAAGCCAUGAGGAAUCUGAAGCAGACAUUACCAUCAGAAGGGCUGUAUGCUGCAGUUGUGGAAGUUCCAAGGAAGAACUGUGAGGAUGAGUUUAAACUUGAUCAAGAAUCACAGGAUGGCCAGGGUUGGAAGGGAC
This is a long non-coding RNA of Lagopus leucura (white-tailed ptarmigan), 615 nucleotides long. RefSeq lists it as uncharacterized. The transcript has 4 exons. Lineage: Eukaryota; Metazoa; Chordata; Aves; Galliformes; Phasianidae. The record is from RefSeq and is a predicted model, not a curated record.